AGAGUUUGAUCCUGGCUCAGGACGAACUUUGGCGGCGCGCCUAACACAUGCAAGUCGAACGGAGUUUAGAGAGCUUGCUUUUUAAACUUAGUGGCGGACGGGUGAGUAACACGUGAGUAACCUACCUUUCAAAGGGGGAUAACGUCUGGAAACGGACGCUAAUACCGCAUAAUACUAUUUGAGGGCAUCCUUGGAUAGUCAAAGGAGAAAUCCGAUGGGAGAUGGACUCGCGGCUGAUUAGAUAGUUGGCGGGGUAGAGGCCCACCAAGUCGACGAUCAGUAGCCGGACUGAGAGGUUGAACGGCCACAUUGGGACUGAGACACGGCCCAGACUCCUACGGGAGGCAGCAGUGGGGGAUAUUGCACAAUGGGGGAAACCCUGAUGCAGCGACGCCGCGUGAGGGAAGACGGUUUUCGGAUUGUAAACCUCUGUCUUUGGGGACGAAUUGAGACGGUACCCAAGGAGGAAGCUCCGGCUAACUACGUGCCAGCAGCCGCGGUAAUACGUAGGGAGCAAGCGUUGUCCGGAAUUACUGGGUGUAAAGGGAGCGUAGGCGGGAUAGUAAGUUGAUUGUUAAAACUAUCGGCUCAACUGGUAGAUGCGAUCAAAACUGCAAUUCUUGAGUGAAGUAGAGGCAGGCGGAAUUCCUAGUGUAGCGGUGAAAUGCGUAGAUAUUAGGAGGAACACCAGUGGCGAAGGCGGCCUGCUGGGCUUUAACUGACGCUGAGGCUCGAAAGUGUGGGUAGCAAACAGGAUUAGAUACCCUGGUAGUCCACACUGUAAACGAUGAUUACUAGGUGUGGGUGGACUGACCCCAUCCGUGCCGCAGUUAACACAAUAAGUAAUCCACCUGGGGAGUACGAUCGCAAGAUUGAAACUCAAAGGAAUUGACGGGGGCCCGCACAAGCAGUGGAGUAUGUUGUUUAAUUCGACGCAACGCGAAGAACCUUACCAGGUCUUGACAUCCUACUAACGAAGCAGAGAUGCAUCAGGUGCCCUUCGGGGAAAGUAGAGACAGGUGGUGCAUGGUUGUCGUCAGCUCGUGUCGUGAGAUGUUGGGUUAAGUCCCGCAACGAGCGCAACCCUUACUAUUAGUUGCUACGCAAGAGCACUCUAAUAGGACUGCCGUUGACAAAACGGAGGAAGGUGGGGAUGACGUCAAAUCAUCAUGCCCUUUAUGACCUGGGCUACAAACGUACUACAAUGGAUAGAAACAGAGGGAAGCCAUACAGCGAUGUAGAGCAGAACCCGAAAAGUAUUCUCAGUUCAGAUUGCAGGCUGCAACUCGCCUGCAUGAAGUCGGAAUUGCUAGUAAUCGCGGAUCAGCAUGCCGCGGUGAAUACGUUCCCGGGCCUUGCACACACCGCCCGUCA
This 1374-nucleotide ribosomal RNA is filed under the name uncultured bacterium. RNAcentral's name for it is "bacterial SSU rRNA". It matches the Rfam family "Bacterial small subunit ribosomal RNA". The record is from RNAcentral.